UGUAUGUCAGGGUCAAAAGGUCAAAAUCCGAUUGUGCUUGCAAAAAGAGGAUUGAGACCUUGGGACCCGCAAAACACGAGCAAGUAGCGUUAUUACGCGGAAUGCGAGUGUUUUAGGAUUGCGGGAAUUGCGUAGCAAUGAAGCAAGCCGUGACAUCA
RNAcentral lists this small RNA (158 nucleotides) under Lachnospiraceae bacterium KH1T2. RNAcentral describes it as "Clostridiales-1 RNA". It matches the Rfam family "Clostridiales-1 RNA". Lineage: Bacteria; Bacillati; Bacillota; Clostridia; Lachnospirales; Lachnospiraceae. The record is from Rfam by way of RNAcentral.